This 753-nucleotide ribosomal RNA is filed under the name Vibrio cholerae. Its description in RNAcentral is "bacterial SSU rRNA". It matches the Rfam family "Bacterial small subunit ribosomal RNA", at positions 65 to 792 of the family's 1533-position model. The record is from RNAcentral. Lineage: Bacteria; Pseudomonadati; Pseudomonadota; Gammaproteobacteria; Vibrionales; Vibrionaceae.
AUUGACAAGGUUCGGAGCUGGCCAGCACAGAGGUACUUGUUCCUUGGGUGGCGAGCGGCGGAGGGGGAGGCGGCCUGGAAAAUUGCCCGGAAGAGGGGGAUAACCAUGGAAAAAGAGGGCUAAUACCGCAUAACCUCGCAAGAGCAAAGCAGGGGACCUUCGGGCCUUGCGCUACCGGAUAUGCCCAGGUGGGAUUAGCUAGUUGGGGAGGUAAGGGCUCACCAAGGCGACAAUCCCUAGCUGGUCUGAAAGGAUGAUCACCCACACUGGAACUGAAACACGGUCCAAACUCCUACGGGAGGCAGCAGGGGGGAAUAUUGCACAAUGGGCGCAAGCCUGAUGCAGCCAUGCCGCGUGUAUGAAAAAGGCCUUCGGGUUGUAAAGUACUUUCAGUAGGGAGGAAGGGGGUUAAGUUAAUACCUUAAUCAUUUGACGUUACCUACAGAAAAAGCACCGGCUAACUCCGUGCCAGCAGCCGCGGAAAUACGGAGGGGGCAAGCGUUAAUCGGAAUUACUGGGCGUAAAGCGCAUGCAGGUGGUUUGUUAAGUCAAAUGUGAAAGCCCUGGGCUCAACCUAGGAAUCGCAUUUGAAACUGACAAGCUAGAGUACUGUAGAGGGGGGUAGAAUUUCAGGUGUAGCGGGGAAAUGCGUAAAGAUCUGAAGGAUUACCGGUGGCGAAGGCGCCCCCCUGGACAGAUACUGACACUCAAAUGCGAAAGCGUGGGGAGCAAACAGGAUUAGAUACCCUGGUA